GGAUAGCUCCACAAUGGCAGUAGCUGAUCCAUUCUUUCUUGAGCUUCUCAAGGAUGAGAAUGAUGGUCUAGCUGAACGUCAUUGGGCUUCUCCUGCAGUAGCUGCGGCUAUACAAUCAGCAGUUAGCACGUCUAUGUCUGAUAGGCUGAAACAAGCACUGAGAAUAACACCGCGGCUGCUUGAUAUGUAUACUGCUAUAGCGAUCCGUGAAGUCAAUGAUUCUCUUAUUUGUGCUCUGGUUCCCCUACUUAUGGCAAGAUAUUCCAAUCUAUUCCCAGAAAAGUUAUUCUUGUACGAGGUUCAAAAGAGGAUCUUAGAGCUCAUGCUUGCUGGCUUUAAUCGAUCUCCCAGUUUCAUUGCACUUCUGAAGAAGCCUAUAGUGGACAGACUUGGAGAAGCUUAUGAUAGUCCGUCGAAGACUGAACUGGCAUUACAAUUAUGCUGGGCAAUCGGGGAGCAUGGAGGAGGUGGUGAAGCCCACAAAGAUGCUGCUCGUGAACUCUUUGAGAGCUUGGAAUUACUUCUCUAUGAAAACCUUUCAUCAAGCCGUGUGCGUCUGCGUGAAUCAGCUCUUGGCUCUGAUUCCGCAAAAUCCAGAAAAUCAUCACAAUCAAGGCUAUUAUGUUUUGUUGUGACUGCCAUUGCAAAGCUUGC
This 654-nucleotide unclassified non-coding RNA is filed under the name Hevea brasiliensis (rubber tree). The record is from RNAcentral. Lineage: Eukaryota; Viridiplantae; Streptophyta; Magnoliopsida; Malpighiales; Euphorbiaceae.